GGGGAUAUAGCUCAGUGGCACAGCACCUGCCUGACAAGCAUGAGGUCGUGAGUUCGAUCCCCA
This 63-nucleotide transfer RNA is filed under the name Cavia porcellus (domestic guinea pig). It matches the Rfam family "tRNA", at positions 1 to 62 of the family's 71-position model. Rfam says of the family: Transfer RNA (tRNA) molecules are approximately 80 nucleotides in length. Their secondary structure includes four short double-helical elements and three loops (D, anti-codon, and T loops). Lineage: Eukaryota; Metazoa; Chordata; Mammalia; Rodentia; Caviidae. The record is from Rfam by way of RNAcentral.